This 503-nucleotide ribosomal RNA is filed under the name uncultured bacterium. RNAcentral describes it as "partial 16S ribosomal RNA". It matches the Rfam family "Bacterial small subunit ribosomal RNA", at positions 29 to 507 of the family's 1533-position model. The record is from RNAcentral.
AACGAACGCUGGCGGCGUGCCUAACACAUGCAAGUCGAACGAGAAAGGGGCUUCGGCUCCGAGUAAAGUGGCGCACGGGUGAGUAACACGUGGGUAACCUGCCUCUAAGAUUGGGAUAACUCGUCGAAAGAUGAGCUAAUACCGAAUAAGACCACAGUUCCCGCGGGAACAGGGGUCAAAGGUAGCCUCUGCUUGCAAGCUAUCACUUAGAGAUGGGCCUGCGCACCAUUAGCUAGUUGGUAGGGUAACGGCCUACCAAGGCAAAGAUGGUUAGCUGGUCUGAGAGGAUGAUCAGCCACACUGGAACUGAGACACGGUCCAGACUCCUACGGGAGGCAGCAGUGGGGAAUAUUGCGCAAUGGGCGAAAGCUUGACGCAGCAACGCCGCGUGAGUGAUGAAGGCCUUCGGGUCGUAAAGCUCUGUCGGGAGGAACGAAUGCUCCUGAGGUUAACAGCCUCGGGAGGUGGCGGUACCUUCAAAGGAAGCACCGGCUAACUCUGUG